This 327-nucleotide long non-coding RNA is filed under the name Musa acuminata (dwarf banana). RNAcentral's name for it is "long non-coding RNA (MACU_LNC008342)". Lineage: Eukaryota; Viridiplantae; Streptophyta; Magnoliopsida; Zingiberales; Musaceae. The record is from RNAcentral.
UAAUAGAAGGAACAAAAUAACAUGCAUCUAAUGCAAUAAAAGCUCCACUAGGCAGAUGUAGGGCGACCUCGCCAACAGCUACUACAGCAACUUUUGCUCCAUUACCCAUCUUGAGGUCCAUCUCGCCUCUCUCUAGUCUCCUAGGCCUUGCCAGAACCUGCAACGAAUUGCAUAUAUGAUAAGCACUACCGGUAUCCAAUACCCAUAUGUUAUCAUAAGAGUUUGACAAUUGGAGACUGAUCAUGAAUGUACCUGAAGCUUCAUCAAGCUUUUGUUUCGCCCUUUCUGCAAGGUACUCUUUGCAGUUUCUCUUCCAGUGCCCAUCUU